UACGGAGGAUCCAAGCGUUAUCCGGAUUUAUUGGGUUUAAAGGGUGCGCAGGCGGACUAAUAAGUCAGUGGUGAAAUCUACAUGCUUAACAUGUAAUGUGCCAUUGAUACUGUUAGACUAGUAUGCAAAUGACGUAGCUGGAAUGUGUUAUGUAGCGGUGAAAUGCUUAGAUAUAACACAGAACACCGAUCGUGAAGACAGGUUACGAAUUUGUUAUAGACGCUCAUGCACGAAAGCGUGGGGAUCAAACAGGAUUAGAUACCCUGGUAGUCCACGCUGUAAACGAUGAUAACUUGUUGUUGGGCACAUAGUGCUCAGUGGCUAAGCGAAAGCGAUAAGUUAUCCACCUGGGGAGUACGAUCGCAAGGUUGAA
RNAcentral lists this ribosomal RNA (373 nucleotides) under uncultured bacterium. RNAcentral describes it as "bacterial SSU rRNA". It matches the Rfam family "Bacterial small subunit ribosomal RNA", at positions 524 to 898 of the family's 1533-position model. The record is from RNAcentral.